GGCCGGCCGCGUGGCCCUGACAGGCUGAAGACUCAACUAGGGUCUUGGGCCAGGGCCGAGCAGGCGCUCACAAUGGAGUCUGUCCCUGGUCUCAGUGGUCAGCUGGCCAUCCAUGUAACCGCAUAGAGAGCAGGUGCUCUCGGAGACCGAGGUCCAAGUGGCCCCUCACCAUCCAGUGCCUCCCUCAAGCUCAGGCGCCAGUCAGAGGGUGUCCUGUCUCAGGCGGCGGGGUGGGGGGUGCUGUGUGCUGCACAAGUCACUGUGUGCUGCCUUGGGGACACAGUCCAAGCGGCUGAGCCUGGGCGGCCAGGGUUCCAUUGGGCUGGGUUUUAGUUGUCCAGCAGGUCCAUCCCAAUGUACCCACCUCCCCCAUCUUCUCACACCAUAGUUGCGUUUAGUUCUUAUACACAGGUCAUUGAACCUUCACACAGAGACAAGGUCAGGUCUCCUUGUGGGGUCCUUAGGCUGCCGUGUCCCAUUUCCCUCAAGGGCAUCCCCUUCAGGGUCACGUUUCUUGUUUAGCCUGAGAGGAGCGGCCACUCACCUACCUGAUAAUAGAUAGUCACUUAAGGCCGACUUGAUACUUCAUCUUCUUUCUUUGUAGUUUAUU
This 610-nucleotide long non-coding RNA is filed under the name Bos taurus (domestic cattle). RNAcentral's name for it is "long non-coding RNA NONBTAT023238". The record is from RNAcentral. Lineage: Eukaryota; Metazoa; Chordata; Mammalia; Artiodactyla; Bovidae.